Molecule: unclassified non-coding RNA, 326 nt
Filed under: Hevea brasiliensis (rubber tree)
Lineage: Eukaryota; Viridiplantae; Streptophyta; Magnoliopsida; Malpighiales; Euphorbiaceae
Source: RNAcentral
GAGUCAGGACGAGUUGAACCGCCGGGUGGAGGCGUUUAUAAAGAAGUUUAACGAAGAAAUGAGGCGGCAGAGACAGGAGUCUUUGAAUCAAUACCAGGAGAAGAUUAGUAGAGGAGCUUAUUAGGAAUUUUGGUUUGAUUUAUGGGUUGAAACGUAUAAAAGGGAGAAAAAAGGGAUAAUAGAGCACAAGAAUGCUAAGUUGGUUCGUUUGUAAAAAUGAUGGAAAAUCAGAAGGCCUCAUGCUAUUUGUUUUUUUCUCAGUGAAUUAGGAGGUGCAAGUAUUAUUUUACAACUCCUCUCAAAAUAAAUAAAUUUUAUAAUUCGAC